This 411-nucleotide unclassified non-coding RNA is filed under the name Hevea brasiliensis (rubber tree). The record is from RNAcentral. Lineage: Eukaryota; Viridiplantae; Streptophyta; Magnoliopsida; Malpighiales; Euphorbiaceae.
GGCUGAAUUUGACAUUAAGAAAGCCCUUGAGAUUGAUCCUAACAACAGGGAUGUGAAGCUUGAAUACAAAGCUCUGAAGGAGAAGGUUAAGGAAUUCAAUAAGAAGGAUGCAAAAUUCUAUGGGAACAUGUUUGCUAAGUUAAAUAAGUUGGAUACCAACUAUAUGUAAGUUUCAGAAUCAUGAUUUCUAGAGUCUAUGUAGCUCCAUCUUGUUUGGUGAUCAGUUAAAGACACUUCAUCUUUGUGAAAUCUGCUUUCAAGCAACCACAACCGAUGAGCUUAGACAGCAAAGCAUAGUUGUCUUAAGCAGACAAGUCUUACUUUCAUGACGCCUUGUUAGUUGUUUAGGAGUGUUAGUCUAAGCUAUUAGAACAACUUGAUCUGUGUCAGUCAUAGCCAUCAAAAAACGCU